Molecule: transfer RNA, 59 nt
Filed under: Neotoma lepida (desert woodrat)
Lineage: Eukaryota; Metazoa; Chordata; Mammalia; Rodentia; Cricetidae
Rfam family: tRNA
About the family: Transfer RNA (tRNA) molecules are approximately 80 nucleotides in length. Their secondary structure includes four short double-helical elements and three loops (D, anti-codon, and T loops). Further hydrogen bonds mediate the characteristic L-shaped molecular structure. tRNAs have two regions of fundamental functional importance: the anti-codon, which is responsible for specific mRNA codon recognition, and the 3' end, to which the tRNAs corresponding amino acid is attached (by aminoacyl-tRNA synthetases). tRNAs cope with the degeneracy of the genetic code in two manners: having more than one tRNA (with a specific anti-codon) for a particular amino acid; and 'wobble' base-pairing, i.e. permitting non-standard base-pairing at the 3rd anti-codon position.
Source: Rfam by way of RNAcentral
UGGCUCAGUGGUUAAGAGCACUAGGCUGCUCUUCCGGAGGACCUGGGUUCAAUUCCCAG